UAGAUUAAAAAUAUCUUUUGGGGUAAAAUUUCACUUUGGACUUUGUAUAUCUUUUUCCUUUCCCUUGGGUUAAAGUAUUAGAUAAUGAUAUUUAAGAUUCUAGUACCUUGAGUAUACCUAUAUAAGAAUGACAGAACCAGCAAUUCAUAGAACUUGUAUUUAACAGAAAAGAAUUUAUAAAUCUGCUGCUUCAUUUCUUUUUCAUAAGUCAAAACCAGAAAUUUUAAAUGCCAAUCAAUUGCCAAAGGAAAUUUGUCUCAGAAGCAAAGGCAGGAAGGAAUAGUAUAUUGUGAGAUGGUCUGAGCUUCCUUAAACUUGAGAUAUUUUCAUGCCUGCUUGCUCUCUUUAAAAAAAAAAAAUGUUUAGAGCAAUAAUAAAAGUUACAUUGCCCUUUCUGUUGUUAAUAUUGACUUAUAUAAUUUCUGAGCAUACCACUGCUUUGUUCUUUAAAGAAAAAUUAAAACUGCCCUAACAUGGGUAUCUAACACGGGUUUUCAAUACUUAUUAUGCCCCAGAGUUAAUGAGUUCAGUCUGCUCUGAUAAUAUUGUAGUCAUGACAUAGGUUAGUCACUGCAAGGAAAAAUAUAAAUUGUUAGUAAGAGAAGUAAGUGCAUAUUUGUGAAAAUAUCAGGGUCUAUCAUUUCCAGUGUUGGUGAUGCUAAUGUGUAAUAUUCCAUUUGUUUACGCUUAUAUUAAAUUGACAAAAGGAAAGAAAAAAAUUCUUCCAUUCACAAGUGGCUGAAAAGGCCUAAUCAAUACUACAUUUAUAGUUUCCCAAUAACUCCACAUGGUUAGCUUUUAGAAAUCUGUCUUUUAAAUAUGCUAUUUUUCUUAAUUUGGAGUUAAUCAGCUGAAAUAGGUUCAUCCCUUUCUUUUCAUCAGUAUCACAAAGUGACUGUCUGGGAGCCUGAGUUCUAAUGAGGCAGCCAUUCCAAACACGUACAGACAAAGCGGUGGUUUCCCUGGCAACGAGCACCAUGAAAAAGCUCUUAGAAUAGUUAUUCCCACCCUUACAUAUGAGUCCUUUUCAUUUCAGUAAAGCUUCCUGUCAGAAGGCAUUCAUCAAUGUAAUUUACCAACGAAGUUUAAAAGAUUAAAUCCCUUUCCCCGUAAGAAUUAAAAAAUAAAAACUACAGCUAAAAAUCAACAGCUAUGCUGAAAUUAUACUUGUGUUAUCAAAUGAUGCUUCAAAGGAAGUAAAGGGUGUCAUAAGAUCCCUGAAUUCAGUUAACAUCACUUUGAACCUAAGAUUAAUUUUCAUUUGAUUUUAAUCCAAGGAUUUAGAAGGUAGAUGCAUUAGAAGGAGGGACAGGUUCAUUUAAUCACUACCUUUGUGAUCCAAAAGCAAUUUUUAUUAAAUAGUAAUAAAUUCACAAAAACUUAUAUCUCUGUAACAAAUUAAGAUUUAUGAUCUCCUUCAUAAACAUUACCCAUUUGUUAGUGAUGUUUACAAAUAAAAGCAAAUUCUGAAAAGAUGUUUUCUUUUCAACUGAUAGAAUUAAGUAAAAGAUCUGCAAUUGCUAUACCUCAACUGACUUUGCAUCUCUGUAUGUAACAUAAAAAGCACAGAAACAGACAGCACCUUGUGUUAUGUACCAUUUCAAGAAUUGUCUCUUGGAGUUCCUGUCAUGGCACAGCGGAAAUGAAUCUGACUAGGAACCAUGAGGUUGUGGGAUCCAUCCCUGUCCUCACUCAGUGGGUUAAGGAUAUGGCAUUGCUGUGAGCUGUGAUAUAGGUCACAGAGGCGGCUCAGAUCCAGCAUUCCUGUGGCUGUGGCAUAGGCCAGCAGCUGUAGCUCCAAUUGGACCCCUAGCCUGGGAACCCCCAUAUACUGUGGGUGUGGGCCUAAAAAGCAAAAUCAACCAAUCAAUCAAUCAAAAUAUAAAUUAAAAAAAUAGAAAUUAAAUGGCCUCAAAAUAAAACAGAUGCAACCCUUUAUUUGGCUUUCAUACUGGAAAUCAAAUUCCUUGAGUUUAAAAUACACUCACUAUAUGUAAUACAAAAUGAGAAUAACACACUGUCAGCAUUUCUCAAAAUGUUAUCACCCAACAGAUGCAGGUAGAUUUUAUAUGCUAGGGAUUUACCCUAGGGUCCUCACUGAAUACAAAUCUAUGCUUGUUUUUCAGCAAAGGAACAUAUUGUCUAGUGCAUUUUCUUUAAAUAGGUAUAAAAAUUAUUUUUACACAGAUUAGGUUGUGUUUUAUUGCUCAGAAAAGUCUAUCUUCCCUUUUUGUCCCAUGACACACUUAGCCUUAUAAUAAUAUUAGGAAGUCAGAGUUACCAUUGCAAAAUAAAACACACUCACACACAAACACACAAGAUUUCUUAAAGAGGUAAGAAAAGAAUUUACAUUGAUAGAGAAAGCAGCGCAUUCUCUCUAUUUUUUUCACUUGAAGAUUGAAAAGGAAACUUACUUCAGUUUGUAACAUUGCAUGGAUUGCUCUAGAUACAAAAUGAAUCAAGUUUCCCAUUGGAUUAUGUGAGUGGUAAUUUCUUCUCUUCCUUAGUGAGAUAAUUCUUUGCUUAGAACCAUGGCAUGCAAACUCAAAUAUUGUCUUUCUCAUAAUGGUUUUGAAAAGUGUGUCCCCAUUUUAUUGUUGUUUGAGAUAAUAAAAUCACAGAUUUCAUUAACUAUCAAAAGGAAUGUGUAAUAAAAUAUAGUGGGGGAGAAGUAACAAUUUAGGAUACAAUAGAUGAGAAUUUCAUGCCAUGAAUAUUCAUCAGUCACUUAGAAUUUGCAUGUUAUGUACAGGAUUCAGGAAAAAAUGUAGUUUGUGUGUUUAAAUUUCAAACUUUAUUUCUUCUUACUGCUUUACCUUUUCAACAUAGGAAGAUAUACACAUUAUAAAAUGUACAGGACCUAUUUUUGAAUAUUAAAAUCUGUGCACUAGUCCAAUCAUAUCUCUAACUUACAUUAGUUAUCUUUCCCUUUAAGAUAAAUAAAGCACCAGGAUUUUGUUCAUUUGUGUAUUACAUUUCUUUUUGUUUUAAAAUGGAUGUUCACAGUUUUAUGCUUAUAAGAAUAUAUAUAAUUUAAGUACUUUCAUGAUAUAAAAUAUAAUACACAGUUCUCUACAAUUAAACUUACAGUGCAAAACCUCAGCUGAAAAUUACUUAUAAAACUUCCAAUUACAGUUUUACAAGUUUAGGUAUUCUCUUCACAGCUGAGGAAUAUGAUGCAAAUAAAAGUUGAGUGUACUUCUCUGCCUCCAACUACAACAUAAAGUUGAUCUUCCAUGUCAUGUUUCUUAAAAGCAACUCUAAAAUAAGUUUCCUCCAGAUCCUCUAAAUUAUUCUCUUUCCCUAAUGGCUUGCUGCAUUGUUCCCCAGAAGAAUGACUGGAAAAGCCCUAUUGCACUUAAUCUAAUUAGAGAUUGUUUUUUGAGAAACAGAGGUUACAUAGUUCUCAUUAACUGACAAAAAAAACUAUACCAUCGCUAGAGGUAU
RNAcentral lists this long non-coding RNA (3447 nucleotides) under Sus scrofa (pig). RNAcentral describes it as "lncRNA (ENSSSCG00000062142.1)". The record is from RNAcentral. Lineage: Eukaryota; Metazoa; Chordata; Mammalia; Artiodactyla; Suidae.